This 231-nucleotide ribosomal RNA is filed under the name uncultured Methanobacterium sp. Its description in RNAcentral is "partial 16S ribosomal RNA". It matches the Rfam family "Archaeal small subunit ribosomal RNA", at positions 1110 to 1338 of the family's 1478-position model. The record is from RNAcentral. Lineage: Archaea; Methanobacteriati; Methanobacteriota; Methanobacteria; Methanobacteriales; Methanobacteriaceae.
AGUGAUAAACUGGGAGGAAGGAGUGGACGACGGUAGGUCCGUAUGCCCCGAAUCCCCUGGGCUACACGCGGGCUACAAUGGCUAUGACAAUGGGUAUCGACACCGAAAGGUGAAGGCAAUCUCCUAAAACCCAUCCGUAGUUCGGAUUGUGGGCUGCAACUCGCCCACAUGAAGCUGGAAUCUGUAGUAAUCGUGUCUCAAAAUGGCACGGUGAAUAUGUCCCUGCUCCUU